CGAAAUAAUCUAGGAAAAAUUAUUCUCUUCUACCUUUCACUUAGAUGUCGGCAAGCAAAAGUAGUGUUACAAAAGGGAAAACAGAACUCUACCAUUCAAUAGUCAUUCAAAAUACAAGGCAAACGCCAAUCGAACAUGAUAACAUUCUACUUCUUCAUUAUUAUUUCUUCAAUGACCUAAAAACGGUAAUCACCUAGUGAGUAAUCAAUGCCGAUAAGUCGUCGGCGUCAUAAACAUGUAAAAGACAAACGCAAAGGUUGGAGAUAAAAAGUUCAGCNCCUGAAUUUCCCGGCGAAUGUCGGAGAAACCGUGAAAUUUUCUGCCAGGGAGAUGGAGCAACUCUCAAGUUCACUGUCGGUAGCGCUUGGAGUCGUCGCAGGUGUAGACAGUGCCAACGCAACGCCUCCUUCUUCGACCCGCAAUGGUCGCUGUAACUUCGUCGAGUUCGCUCCACCACCGCUACACCUGUCGCCCAAAUCGCGAAUUCCACCACCGGAAAUAGCCACGAGCCACCACCAUUGCGUGAUUUCGCUAUCCCCCACUAGCUUUGCCUCUUCGAUCGAAGGGAUGAGAAAUUAGGGAAGAGAACACUCGAAGAUAAGAGAGAUGAUGCAGAGAGACUGUAAAGAAAGGAAAGAAAAAUUAGGGGUUUGCACAAAUGAACGUAAAUAAAACUUCGG
RNAcentral lists this long non-coding RNA (680 nucleotides) under Vigna radiata. Its description in RNAcentral is "long non-coding RNA (VRAD_LNC007744)". The record is from RNAcentral. Lineage: Eukaryota; Viridiplantae; Streptophyta; Magnoliopsida; Fabales; Fabaceae.